RNAcentral lists this ribosomal RNA (465 nucleotides) under Vreelandella stevensii. Its description in RNAcentral is "partial 16S ribosomal RNA". It matches the Rfam family "Bacterial small subunit ribosomal RNA", at positions 338 to 795 of the family's 1533-position model. The record is from RNAcentral. Lineage: Bacteria; Pseudomonadati; Pseudomonadota; Gammaproteobacteria; Oceanospirillales; Halomonadaceae.
CCUACGGGGGGCUGCAGUGGGGAAUAUUGGACAAUGGGGGGAACCCUGAUCCAGCCAUGCCGCGUGUGUGAAGAAGGCCCUCGGGUUGUAAAGCACUUUCAGUGAGGAAGAACGCCUGGUGGUUAAUACCCAUCAGGAAAGACAUCACUCACAGAAGAAGCACCGGCUAACUCCGUGCCAGCAGCCGCGGUAAUACGGAGGGUGCGAGCGUUAAUCGGAAUUACUGGGCGUAAAGCGCGCGUAGGUGGCUUGAUAAGCCGGUUGUGAAAGCCCCGGGCUCAACCUGGGAACGGCAUCCGGACCUGUCAAGCUAGAGUGCAGGAGAGGAAGGUAGAAUUCCCGGUGUAGCGGUGAAAUGCGUAGAGAUCGGGAGGAAUACCAGUGGCGAAGGCGGCCUUCUGGACUGACACUGACACUGAGGUGCGAAAGCGUGGGUAGCAAACAGGAUUAGAUACCCGAGUAGUC